AGAAUUACUACCUCCACCUCCUCCAUUGUUAUCGCUAUUGUUACUAGGUAUGAACAUAUCAGAUGACUUCUCCAACUUCCAAUCCUUCGUUAUUCUUUCUGGAAUAGUUUCAGGCAGCUGAGAAGCACAGACAUCCUUAAUCUUUAAGUCGUUGUACAAGACAACACCACAAAGUGCUGCACACGAGGGGCAAAAGUAAAUUUCCAGAAUCUGAUGAAAACCAACCACACUUCAAAUUAGUAGAGAAAUACCAAUUGCAUAACCAA
This 266-nucleotide unclassified non-coding RNA is filed under the name Hevea brasiliensis (rubber tree). Lineage: Eukaryota; Viridiplantae; Streptophyta; Magnoliopsida; Malpighiales; Euphorbiaceae. The record is from RNAcentral.